AAAUAACAAGAGACGUAGAAGAGUAGCUGCGGGCAGGCGCAAAAGAGAGUAAACGGCUGGUGGAAGUUUACCGGUGCCUGCAGUGAAAGUAACUAUGAUAAGUUUUGUGUGAACGUUCGCGGAACACCGAAGUCAAACCCGGUCCGUAUGAACAAGUAAUCCAAUACGUGCGGUGAGCGUUAAUCACCAAGUUGAGAUGCAGGCAGACAGUAUGCCUGAAUUUAGGUGGCACCGCGGAACUCCCGUCCUAUUU
RNAcentral lists this non-coding RNA (253 nucleotides) under Jeotgalicoccus saudimassiliensis. Lineage: Bacteria; Bacillati; Bacillota; Bacilli; Caryophanales; Staphylococcaceae. The record is from RNAcentral.